This 953-nucleotide ribosomal RNA is filed under the name Legionella pneumophila. RNAcentral's name for it is "partial 23S ribosomal RNA". It matches the Rfam family "Bacterial large subunit ribosomal RNA", at positions 603 to 1561 of the family's 2925-position model. The record is from RNAcentral. Lineage: Bacteria; Pseudomonadati; Pseudomonadota; Gammaproteobacteria; Legionellales; Legionellaceae.
ACCUUUUGUAUAAUGGGUCAGCGAGUUACUUUCAGUGGCGAGGUUAACUGAAUAAGGGAGCCGUAGAGAAAUCGAGUCUGAAUAGGGCGAUAGUCGCUGGGAGUAGACCCGAAACCGGGCGAUCUAGCCAUGUGCAGGAUGAAGGUUGGGUAACACCAACUGGAGGUCCGAACCGGGUAAUGUUGAAAAAUUAUCGGAUGACGUGUGGCUAGGAGUGAAAGGCUAAUCAAGCCCGGAGAUAGCUGGUUCUCCCCGAAAGCUAUUUAGGUAGCGCCUCGUGAAUGAUUACUGGGGGUAGAGCACUGUUUCGGCUAGGGGGCUGUCAUGGCUUACCAAACCGAUGCAAACUCCGAAUACCGGCUAAUUGGAUCACGGGAGACACACGGCGGGUGCUAACGUCCGUCGUGGAGAGGGAAACAACCCAGACCGCCAGCUAAGGUCCCCAAGUACUAGUUAAGUGGGAAACGAUGUGGGAAGGCAUAGACAGCCAGGAGGUUGGCUUAGAAGCAGCCACCCUUUAAAGAAAGCGUAAUAGCUCACUGGUCGAGUCGGCCUGCGCGGAAGAUGUAACGGGGCUAAAACUAGUCACCGAAGCUGCGGAUGUGCGCGAAGGCGCACGUGGUAGGGGAGCGUUCUGUAGGCUGAUGAAGGUGCAUUGAGAAGUGUGCUGGAGGUAUCAGAAGUGCGAAUGCUGACAUGAGUAACGAUAAUGUGGGUGAAAAGCCCACACGCCGGAAGUCCCAGGUUUCCUGCACGACGUUAAUCGGAGCAGGGUGAGUCGGCCCCUAAGGCGAGGCUGAAGAGCGUAGUCGAUGGGAACCAGGUUAAUAUUCCUGGACUUUUUAUAAGUGGUGAAGUGGGGACGAAGAAGGCUAGGUGAGCCAGGCGUUGGUUGUCCUGGUACUUGCAUGUAGGGGGGAAGACUUGGCAAAUCCGGUUUUCCAUAACUCUGA